Molecule: long non-coding RNA, 3000 nt
Organism: Oncorhynchus kisutch (coho salmon)
Lineage: Eukaryota; Metazoa; Chordata; Actinopteri; Salmoniformes; Salmonidae
Exons: 5
Source: RefSeq, a predicted model, not a curated record
GUAACGAUGCUUCGAGGGUGACUGUUGACGUGUGCGCCCAGGUCGGGGCGAGAGGACGGACGUAAAGUCUAUACUGUUACACCAAGAUACUAGCCUAUAUAAAACUGACCCAAUAGCAAUUCCGAUGACCGUGAUGCGUGUCUUUGCGGAGACCUGAUGAUCGGCAGGUAAUGCUGCAUUCGAGCGGAUAGAUUUUCUUCACCAUUCGGCGAUUUGCCACCGAUGCUCCUUAUAGGAGCAUAGAUGUCCACAUCAGCCGUCUCUGUAUAUGUAACGGAUGUGAAACGGCUAGCUAGUUAGCGGUGGUGACGUCACCGAUUGAAACCGCUAACUAGCUAGCCGUUUCACAUAUACCCAGCGCAAGAUCCACUGGUGGAUGCUUAUAGAAAACAUGCUCAGAAGACUGAGGGCGGGACAUUUCCUAGGGACAACAGUCCUUGUAGUGCUUCUGCCGUGAAGUCUUGGAGACUUCACUUCACCACCUCCACAUAGGAGAUCUGCUGCGCAGCCCUGAUCCUUGACACCUUGACCUCCUUCACCCUAACAGGGUGCUCAUGGAAGUCUGGAGUAUGAUCCCCACCACAGUUACAUUUUCCAUUCACAGAUUAUUCUGUUCUUCAUCAACAAAAUUAACCAAAACCAGGCUGCUUCUAAUCACCUUGAUUGAAUCCACCAUUCCCACUGCUUUCUUCACAGUCCUGAAUAUUACAAAUGGAUUUCCCAAAUUAAACUCCGUGUCUAGAAAACGCAACCCAAUAAGAAAUGCAUUAUUGAACCAGUCCUUGUCUUCUACAACUUAUGCUUGUUUUGUUCCAUUCUUUGAUUUCACUUUUCUAUUCAUUAUCACACACUUCAUUUGCCUCACUUUCAGAUUCAAGCACAGUCAGUUUCCUUCGAUAUCAUGGCGGUCUGCAAACAAUCAUUUUAAGUGCAUGCCGCCACCUACUAUGCUGGAAUGUAGGAUUAAUCAUGAUCUGCCCAAUUCUGUACUACCAUGAAAAUAAAAACAUAACAAAUAAAUCCCUAAUAACUUCUAACAAAUGCUGCACUAUGUCGUGUGCCCCCCCCCACACACACACUCAAUUACAACACUUAACCUUCACAUUGCUCCCACAUUCACUGUAGUCAUGUUCACCUCCAUGCAUGUUUUGUGUCAUGUUUGUGUCCUGCUGCAUUGUCUUCGGUCUCUGUAUUGUCGUGGUGUCUUAUUGUGAUGCGUGUCUUUAUUUUUUAUUAUCCCAUCCCCACAGGAAGCUUUUUGCCUCUUGGUAGGCCUUCAUUGUAAAUAAGAAUUUGUUCUUAAUUAACUUUCCUAGUUAAAGGUAAUACAAAAUAAAAUUGGGGGGGGGGGGGUAAUGAACACUACCUGGGUUUUGUUUUGAGAUGGCCCUAUAUGGGGUUGUUGUUGAAUAAUUACCCGGUUUGAAUAGGAAGUCCUUGUCUGCACCAUCAUGACAGACGGGGAAGAGGCGCUUUAGCAGCCUGACCAGAAGGCAAGGACACAUGGAUGGGUUCCAGCUGCUACCCUCCCCUGAGCACCUAGAACAGGUCAAUUGGGAGACGGGCUAACAGCACAGGCACAUUGCCCCUGUGUGGCCCAAACUCUCCACAGACCCUGGACACAGCAGCUGAUAUCAUAUGGACUGCACAGGAGGAAGAGGCAGUGGCCUCUGACUUUGGAGACCUGCUGGGGGUUGGGGGACCUCGACCUCUCCGCCCCACUGCCCUCCCCAUCUCGAGGGUAUCAUGGAAUGGGACUGGCAGCCAACAAAAUGAAAGAGGGAAAGAGGAGAGACUGGAGAAGGUGAAGACCAGCCACAGCAGACAAGACAGUCCAGCUGCUGCUACCAACUAUACAGAGUCAAAGAUUGUCCUGUAAGCUUUCCCAAAAGCUUGACAUUUCUCUACUGGCGCUACCGAAUUGGAUCCUUUUUGGAGGCGCAGCUGCCAAUGCUCUGUUUCAACUCCAGAAAAUAAGAUGUAGUUUCUUCAUGUGUCAUGGAUGCUGUCCCUUCAAGAUGGAGUGUCUCUGUUGGUAUGACCUGCCUCAAGGCUACAGACCCCAUCGCCGCAACGAUCAUCUUGUGCAUCAUGCCAUGAGUCUGGAUGACUUGAACAUCUUCUCGACUGUGUCACUGUUCUGACUCUUCUGGAUGACUUGAACAUCUUCUCGACUGUGUCAUUGUUCUGACUCUUCUGGAUGACUUAGACAGCUUCUUGACUUUGUCAUUGUUCUGACUCUUCUGGAUGACUUGCUGGAUGAUGACAAUGGUGUUCCCGCUGUACCUGAGUGAAUAUGACAAGACCUGAGCCCUAGGACCAUGCCUCAGGACUACCUGACAUGAUGACUCCUUGCUGUCCCUAGUCCACCUGGCCAUGCUGCUGCUCCAGUUUCAACUGUUCUGCUUUAUUUAUUAUUGGACCAUGCUGGUCAUUUAUGAACAUUUGAACACCUUGGCCAUGUUCUGUUAUAAUCUCCACCCGGCACAGCCAGAAGAGGACUGGCCACCCCACAUAGCCUGGUUCCUCUCUAGGUUUCUUCCUAGGUUUUGGCCUUUCUAGGGAGUAUUUCCUAGCCACCGUGCUUGUACACCUGCAUUGCUUGCUGUUUGGGGUUUUAGGCUGGGUUUCUGUACAGCACUUUGAGAUAUCAGCUGAUGUACGAAAGGCUAUAUAAAUAAAUUUGAUUUGUUAAGAACAAAUUCUUAUUUUACAAUGAUGGCCUACCCUGGCCAAACCCUCCCCUAACUCGGACGAUGCUGGGCCAAUGGUUCGCACCGCCCUAUGGGACUCCCAAUCACUGCCGGUUGUGAUGCAGCACCUUAGACUGCUGCGCCACUCGGGAGCCCAGAUUAGGCUUCAUGCUUACCUUUACUGUUGACAGGGAAACUCUUGUUGCGGUGUUGACAUGAUGAUUGAAGACCUAAUGUUAGAUUUGAUUUAUUCUAUUAUGUUUUCAAUGUACACACAGAAAAGGGAAUAAAAUAUUGUUUCACAGUU